This 119-nucleotide ribosomal RNA is filed under the name Carassius auratus (goldfish). The record is from RNAcentral. Lineage: Eukaryota; Metazoa; Chordata; Actinopteri; Cypriniformes; Cyprinidae.
GCUUACGGCCAUACCAACCUGGCUAUGCCAGAUCUUGUCUGAUCUCGGAAGCUAAGCAGGUUUGGGCCUGGUUAGUACUUGGAUGGGAGACCGCCUGGGAAUACCAGGUGCUGUAAGCU